UGGCGUGAAACAAGGGGCUUUAUGGCUUCUCUAGAUCCACUGGUGAAGCAAAGUUGCGUGCGCACAGAGCAUUUGGUGCGACUAUUACCUGUGAUCCUGCCGGUGUAAUUGGAUCUGUCAGUGAUACACAUCUAUGGGGGACACUUGAAAUGUUCACUUUAGCGUUUGCAUAUGGCCUCUUCUUUGAAGGUGGCAAACGGCCUGGCUCUUGCUGGAGCUUCUGUGGGAAAAUUGCUGUAUGCCAAUUAUGGCAUUGACCCGUUGAAUCUAUAUUUCAUAUAUUGAGAGAGAUUGCAGCAGAGCUCAAAGCAUUUGGGAGACAUCAGAGUGCCAAGCCAGCUUGUUACUCCUUUUAUUGGAUUAUAUGGCCUCAAUGCUGGCUAAUCCUUAAAGAAAAACACCUGUAGUGUGAUAAUCUUGAAGGGAGUAGCCUGUUGAUCUUCACAUGGUAUCUGUGGGAGGUUGGCUGGAAGCCAGUUCCCCUAUUCUCCAAAACCAACUGGAAGUACAGGUCUUUCUUGCUUAGGAGCCUCCUGAAAUGGAAUGGCAGAAUAUGAAUGUUGAUGUGCCGAGGAGAAUGGCAUCUGGCGGAAUUAGAGCAGGGAAAGUAAUUUAAACCAAUCUUGGCAAGGGAUAUUGAAGUAGAAAUCUGGGGAUUACAGUUUAAGCUUGCAGUUUGCAAUUUAGAAGAAGGCACUAAAAUAUGUAUUCAGAUUUCAGACGGACUUGGCUAUUAUUGCAAAAUUGAUGAAACAAGAGAGAAGAAUGCAGUGGCACACGGGAUGGCAAAUGGAGCUACAACCCUGAUUUGGAGUGACCACGCUAAGCAUCUUAGGGCUGUUUGUUUUUCUUCCCCCACCUUUAGAGAAUCGUGUUUAGACCUUCGUUGCAUUAUUUUUAUGGAGUCAUUGCUGGAAACUUACUGCUGCUUUUCUUUUUCUUUCUUGGUCGAUUGGACGUUGUUCUGUUUAUGUGCAGAUUGCAGAUCAUGAUCAAGGAUGUUAAUGAGCAGUUGCAGUCAUCUGUCAAGAGAAGCUAUAGCUUCUUAUUGGAAAUUUGUCCUAUGCUGCUGAGUACGGUGAGAAAUGGUAAAUUAUGCUCUCUAUCUCUCUCUCGUUGCACGACAUGUUAGGUGAUGAGAGAGACAUAAAACGUGAGUGUUUGAACCCACGAAGCCAAGUUUUUUUCUUGCUAAUAAGACCGGUUGCUUUGAUAGUUCAUUGUUCUUUUCUGACCAAAACCAGAUUAUUAACAAUGUGGUUUGGUUUGGUGACAGUCUCUAUCUUUCACUGUUAUCUUCCUAAAUUCAGCUGAAAAACCCAACUUGUAUUUUUCUUUGAAAUUGUCUGCAA
This 1352-nucleotide small RNA is filed under the name Malus domestica (apple). RNAcentral describes it as "sRNA MD10G0218900". The record is from RNAcentral. Lineage: Eukaryota; Viridiplantae; Streptophyta; Magnoliopsida; Rosales; Rosaceae.